Molecule: RNA transcript, 1707 nt
Organism: Mercurialis annua (annual mercury)
Lineage: Eukaryota; Viridiplantae; Streptophyta; Magnoliopsida; Malpighiales; Euphorbiaceae
Gene name: alpha-ketoglutarate-dependent dioxygenase alkB
Exons: 8
Source: RefSeq, a predicted model, not a curated record
GAAAGCAAUUCUGAUACCGCUACGUUUGCAAACGACAACACGUUAACACAAAGUAACAGAGAAAACGCAGUACAACACUGUCGUCCAGAUAGAAACCGCAUGAACUCAGAAAAACCCUAAUUAAAAUUGAAAUCAAAGAAGCAAGCAAGUGAAAAACUAAAUCCCAUCCCAACUCGGCGAUUAAUUGAAAUGUACGGCUCCGAUAAAGUCUCCGAUGACGCCGAGAGAACAGCAUUCCGUAGAGCUGAGAAGCAAUACAAACUUUACUACGAUCAAGAUUCCAAAUCAGCUAAGAAGAAAAAGAGACCCAAACCGGUGGAUUUAUCGGAGGUUUUAGAUUUCAAGUUAAUUUUAGAUUCUUUCAAGCUGAAUGGUGAACUUCCUGAUGGAAUUAUUGCAUUUCAAGGCAAUUUUGAUCGUCCCGUCUUCUGCUUGGAAAGUCGCCCCGGUUUCUAUUUUAUCAGUGGAGCACUGAGCGUCGAAGAACAAUGCAUGUGGAUAAGAGAGAGUUUGACAAAUUUUCCGCAGCCUGCAAAUAGAACAAAUCAUAAUGCUAUAUAUGGUCCUAUACAUGAUUUAUUUACAUCCGCGAAAGAGGGUAAAGUACUUAUAGAGGAUGAGAAUACACCUCCCGGCUUGGAUUCUGGGUGUAAUAACGAUGCCCGUAGAUGGACGUUUUGUGAGGAAGAUGUUGCUUCACUGAGAGGAAAGACAUGUAAAUCUGUUUCAGCCUCAUCGUUAUUGAGAAAGUUGCGAUGGAGUACCCUCGGCCUUCAAUUUGACUGGUCCAAGCGGAAUUAUAAUGUACAUCUCCCACAUAAUAAGAUCCCUGAUGCACUUUGUCAGCUGGCUAAAAAGUUGGCUGUUCCUGCAAUGCCUAUUGGAGAAGAGUUUCAUCCAGAAGCUGCGAUAGUAAAUUAUUUUGGAUCAGGUGAUGCGCUUGGGGGUCACCUGGAUGAUAUGGAAGCAGACUGGAGCAAACCUAUUGUAAGCAUGAGUUUGGGCUGCAAGGCUAUUUUCCUUUUGGGAGGAAGAAGUAGGGAGGAUCCACCAUUUGCAAUGUUUCUUCGAAGUGGUGAUGUAGUGCUCAUGGCUGGAGAAGCAAGGGAAUGCUUUCAUGGUGUGCCUCGGAUCUUUAUUGACGAAGAAAAAUCUGAAAUAACGCCUCUUGAAAUGCAUUUCUCACAAGACAAAGAUUUCUUGGAAUAUGCUAGAACUUCAAGGAUCAACAUCAAUAUCAGACAAGUUUUCUGAGUUCUUUUAUUCCCUUUUCAACCGAAUUUUGAAAUCUCGGUUAGUAUUCAAUUGAAGAGCUCCUCACAGGGGAUGGAUUUAUUGGUGGAAAAUUUACAGUUGUUGAAGAUCUCUAAAUACAACGAAGAUUAUACGAAUUACCAGUAAAUUCGAAGAAAAGGUGGAGGGCAUUUACCCCAUUGAAUUGAAACUAUACUGCCAACAAUCUUUACGAAUAUCAUCUUGAACUGGUUAUAGAGAUGGUCCAUGCGUAAAUUACCGAUGUGUAUAAAUUUUGUCCAAGCACACCAAGGCACCCCAAAAUAAGAUCUAUUUUUGUCCAAGUACACAUGCAAAGUCAACAUCCAAUCAUACUCCAAAGAGGGAAAAUAAAAUUAAUUUUCUUUCUCAUUAGACACAAUUUUCACUCAGUUAUUAAAAAUUUCAAUUCUCCGUUGAUUUUAUGCGUUUAGA